UCGUUUGGCCUUGUAGAUCCUGAUCCAUAUGGAAUAGGGCUCUGUGUGUCAUUUGUUUGGCCAUGUUCCGAUUUUCUUUCACAGAUUGAAAAAAUGGGGGGGAAAACACUCAUAUCUGAAGGUUUUAGUAGAAUACAUACAUGAUGCUUUAUGGCCAUAAUCAGCAGACUCCUUUCUGCAUGUAGCUUAAUUCCAGUAUAAGCCUUAAUCCAUAUGUUUCUUUCUGCUGCACACAUUAAUUUGAUUGAUCCAUUAUAUGAACUACUUUGUUGUUAAUAUUUAAAAGGUUAUUGCCAGAAGAUUGUGUCAUCAACAUCAUCGCUACAGCAACCACCACCUCUGUUUAUGUCCUAUAGCAAUACAUUUAGUUUACUUAGAACAUUUAUCUUUGAUUCUUGUAAUGGCACCACCACUUACCAGUGGACUUUCCAUCUGCAAAUCAAAAAAUGGCUUUAAAUUAAAGAGUAUGGUUUUAUUUACAACAUGAACAUAAGUUAUUCCAUUUUAGAGAAGAGUCUUCCAACAAUAUCAGGUCAGAUUUAAAUCACAGGCAUGCCUACAAGCCAAGAAAUCCAUUUCAGAUAUAUUAAAUGUGGUUCAAAUCAAGUUUCUAGACAGACUGGCAGACGAGUCAGGCAGGCAGGCAGACAAGGAGUCAGGCAGGCAGACAAGGAGUCAGGCAGGGAGUCAGGCAGGCAAGGAGGCAGGCAGGCAGGGAAGGAGGCAGGCAGGCAGGCAGGGAAGGAGGCAGGCAGGCAGGCAGGGAAGCAGGCAGGCAGGCAGGGAAGCAGGCAGGCAGGCAGGCAGGGAAGCAGGCAGGCAGGCAGGCAGGGAAGGAGGCAGGGAAGGAGGCAGGCAGGGAAGGAGGCAGGCAGGGAAGGAGGCAGGCAGAGACCAGCAUCAGAUCAACAGGGCCUGCCCCUAAACACUAUUUACUUCACACUGGCCUAUAACCUUUGGGCCAGUCAACUUUUCCACAGUAACAACAACAUCCCUGGUUGAUGCAAUAGGCUUGAAACUUCACAGACCAACUUACUGCCUUUGACAAAACAAGCGUAAGGAAAGACCUAUAAUUACCCCUUUAGUCGUGAUCUGCUAAACAAAGUAUAUUUACAGUGAUUAUCCACUUCCCUUUGAUUGGAGAGCGUCAUCUAGUUUCACCCCCUUUUCCUGUCACAAUAUCAAUGUCCCAUUCCUGAUUAUGGCCUUGCCACAGCAACUCCCAGUGGGUUUGGGAGAGUUGAAGAGCAGGACAUAUCUUCAGAUACACAUCCUGCCAGGUCACUUCUCCUCCAUACAAUAACCCACUCAUCCAGGAAGUCAGUUAGAACAUCCACAUUCUGAGAACCCCUCUCAGGUCGAUGACCACAACUGAGACUCCCAGAGCAAACAGUCACUAGGCCACGACGAGGCUAGGGCCCCUCCCAAUCACCAUGAAGAGGGUUAGACAGUAAAAUAAUAAUCAACACAAUAUAUAGCUCUUAAAAACAAUACAGGCCUCAAUAUGCCCAGUGAUUGGGCAACUAGUGAGGUUUUCAUUCCUUCUUGAAAAUGAAAACUGUUUACUCUGGCCUGCACAGCUCUAGAGGAUUCAACUUUGUCCUUCUGCACUUUACAAGUCCAUGACCUUGGCAGGGGAGGGAAGCUCUG
Molecule: long non-coding RNA, 1650 nt
Organism: Esox lucius (northern pike)
Lineage: Eukaryota; Metazoa; Chordata; Actinopteri; Esociformes; Esocidae
Source: Ensembl